Small nucleolar RNA from Hypomesus transpacificus, 201 nucleotides. RefSeq annotates it as small nucleolar RNA SNORD97. The transcript has a single exon. NCBI's taxonomy places the organism in Eukaryota, Metazoa, Chordata, Actinopteri, Osmeriformes, Osmeridae. The record is from RefSeq and is a predicted model, not a curated record.
AUGCCCGGUGAUUAUGAAAAGACGCGUUAUUCUGAGGAGUCUAACCGGCUUGCCAGUUGAAUCUCUCUCCUGUCUUUUCCUUCCUCCCUCCUUCUCAGUCUUCUCCUCCUCCCCUCUCUCUCCUAGCCCCUCCUCCUCUGCUUAUUCCCUUCUCCAACUGGCGACUGGUCCGUUGACUGCGAUUAUGAGAUAUGAGGGCAU